UGGGGAAUAUUGCACAAUGGGCGCAAGCCUGAUGCAGCCAUGCCGCGUGUGUGAAGAAGGCCUUCGGGUUGUAAAGCACUUUCAGCGAGGAGGAAGGUGGUGAGCUUAAUACGCUCAUCAAUUGACGUUACUCGCAGAAGAAGCACCGGCUAACUCCGUGCCAGCAGCCGCGGUAAUACGGAGGGUGCAAGCGUUAAUCGGAAUUACUGGGCGUAAAGCGCACGCAGGCGGUUUGUUAAGUCAGAUGUGAAAUCCCCGGGCUCAACCUGGGAACUGCAUUUGAAACUGGCAAGCUAGAGUCUCGUAGAGGGGGGUAGAAUUCCAGGUGUAGCGGUGAAAUGCGUAGAGAUCUGGAGGAAUACCGGUGGCGAAGGCGGCCCCCCUGGACGAAGACUGACGCUCAGGUGCGAAAAGCGUGGGGCAGCAAACAGGAUUAGAUACCCUGGUAGUCCACGCUGUAAACGAUGUCGAUUUGGAGGUUGUGCCCUUGAGGCGUGGCUUCCGGAGCUAACGCGUUAAAUCGACCG
Molecule: ribosomal RNA, 527 nt
Filed under: uncultured bacterium
Lineage: Bacteria
Description: partial 16S ribosomal RNA
Rfam family: Bacterial small subunit ribosomal RNA
Source: RNAcentral